Molecule: ribosomal RNA, 867 nt
Filed under: Pleosporales sp. FW1SW5
Lineage: Eukaryota; Fungi; Ascomycota; Dothideomycetes; Pleosporales
Description: SSU rRNA
Rfam family: Eukaryotic small subunit ribosomal RNA
Source: RNAcentral
AAUGGCUCAUUAAAUCAGUUAUCGUUUAUUUGAUAGUACCUUACUACUUGGAUAACCGUGGUAAUUCUAGAGCUAAUACAUGCUAAAAACCCCAACUUCGGGAGGGGUGUAUUUAUUAGAUAAAAAACCAAUGCCCUUCGGGGCUCCUUGGUGAUUCAUGAUAACUUCUCAGAUCGCAUAGCCUUGUGCUGGCGACGGUUCAUUCAAAUUUCUGCCCUAUCAACUUUCGAUGGUAAGGUAUUGGCUUACCAUGGUUUCAACGGGUAACGGGGAAUUAGGGUUCGAUUCCGGAGAGGGAGCCUGAGAAACGGCUACCACAUCCAAGGAAGGCAGCAGGCGCGCAAAAUUACCCAAUUCCGAUACGGAGAGGUAGUGACAAUAAAUACUGAUACAGGGCUCUUUUGGGUCUUGUAAUUGGAAUGAGUACAAUUUAAAUCCUCUUAACGAGGAACAAUUGGAGGGCAAGUCUGGUGCCAGCAGCCGCGGUAAUUCCAGCUCCAAUAGCGUAUAUUAAAGUUGUUGCAGUUAAAAAGCUCGUAGUUGAACCUUUGGCCUGGCUGGCAGGUCCGCCUCACCGCGUGCACUGGUCCGGCCGGGCCUUUUCUUCUGGAGAACCGCAUGCCCUUCACUGGGUGUGUUGGGGACCAGGACUUUUACUUUGAAAAAAUUAGAGUGUUCAAAGCAGGCCUUUGCUCGAAUACGUUAGCAUGGAAUAAUAGAAUAGGACGUGCGGUCCUAUUUUGUUGGUUUCUAGGACCGCCGUAAUGAUUAAUAGGGACAGUCGGGGCAUCAGUAUUCAAUUGUCAGAGGUGAAAUUCUUGGAUUAUUGAAGACUAACUACUGCGAAACAUUUGCCAAGGAUGUUUC